Molecule: ribosomal RNA, 407 nt
Filed under: uncultured bacterium
Lineage: Bacteria
Description: partial 16S ribosomal RNA
Rfam family: Bacterial small subunit ribosomal RNA
Source: RNAcentral
GACGAACGCUGGCGGCGCGCUUAACACAUGCAAGUCGAGCGAAGCGGCGGACGGGUGAGUAACACGUGAGUAACCUGCCUUAGACAUUGGGAUAGCCUCGGGAAACCGGGAUUAAUACCAAAUGGUCUAAGAUGGACUCGCGUCUCAUUAGCUAGUUGGUGAGGUAACGGCCCACCAAGGCGACGAUGGGUAGCCGGCCGGAGGGGGCGAGCGGCAACCGUGUACGUGAGGAACGCGCCAAAAUCGACGGGAGGGGGCGCUGGGCAAUAGGGCACAAGGGAGGUAACUCUGAGGCGGCUACGCCGCGUAAAAGAAGGAUGCUUUAGAGUAGUAAAGUUCUUUUAUAUGGAAAGCCGUACCAUAAGAAAAAGCCCCGGGUAACUUCGGGCCAGCAGCCGCGGUAAUAC